ACAACGAACCAGCGCCUAUCAUCAGGUAUUUCAUCACUUUUUGUGUGCUUGCUAUUUUUUGACACAUGUUUCUUUGAGGUAUACUUACUGGAUUCAUAAGUAGUAAAUUAGUUUUCUAUUAAUUGCUUUCCUCUCACUGUUUCUCUGUAUAAUGAAUAUAUUUUGCUAAUUGCCUUAUACUAAAAUUAAUUAGAAUGUACUUGUACUUGGUUCUUGUUCUGAACAAUAUAUAUCCUUCUUGUAACCUAGUUUUGAUUUUUAAUAGAUAAGUUUUGAUUUUUAAGAGAUAAUUGUUUACUGCCAGCACGAUUUGAUUGCUGGAGAUCUGUUGUGAAGUUCUCAUUUCUUUGCACCUCUGAACACAGCCAAAGAUCUGCUGUUGCUAGAGCUGAGCCAGAUGUAGGACUAGGACACCAUUGAUCUUCUACAAGCCUGAGCUUGUAAGACAAGGAUCUUAUUUCUUGCUCUUCGGUGAUGGAUUUUGAUUGCAGUUCUAGCUAGCUAGUAUAUUAGAUUUUUUCAUAGAUUUUUAGAUCUAUAGAAAGAGUGGAACUUA
RNAcentral lists this long non-coding RNA (556 nucleotides) under Sorghum bicolor (sorghum). Its description in RNAcentral is "long non-coding RNA (SBIC_LNC014829)". Lineage: Eukaryota; Viridiplantae; Streptophyta; Magnoliopsida; Poales; Poaceae. The record is from RNAcentral.